ACACAUGCAAGUCGAGGGGCAGCAUGGCUCUUAGCUUGCUAAGGCCGAUGGCGACCAGCGCACGGGUGAGUAACACGUAUCCAACCUGCCGUCUACUCUUGGACAGCCUUCUGAAAGGAAGAUUAAUACAAGAUGGCAUCAUGAGUCCGCAUGUUCACAUGAUUAAAGGUAUUCCGGUAGACGAUGGGGAUGCGUUCCAUUAGAUAGUAGGCGGGGUAACGGCCCACCUAGUCUUCGAUGGAUAGGGGUUCUGAGAGGAAGGUCCCCCACAUUGGAACUGAGACACGGUCCAAACUCCUACGGGAGGCAGCAGUGAGGAAUAUUGGUCAAUGGGCGAGAGCCUGAACCAGCCAAGUAGCGUGAAGGAUGACUGCCCUAUGGGUUGUAAAUUUCUUUUAUAAAGGAAUAAAGUCGGGUAUGGAUACCCGUUUGCAUGUACUUUAUGAAUAAGGAUCGGCUAACUCCGUGCCAGCAGCCGCGGUAAUACGGAGGAUCCGAGCGUUAUCCGGAUUUAUUGGGUUUAAAGGGAGCGUAGAUGGAUGUUUAAGUCAGUUGUGAAAGUUUGCGGCUCAACCGUAAAAUUGCAGUUGAUACUGGAUAUCUUGAGUGCAGUUGAGGCAGGCGGAAUUCGUGGUGUAGCGGUGAAAUGCUUAGAUAUCACGAAGAACUCCGAUUGCGAAGGCAGCCUGCUAAGCUGCAACUGACAUUGAGGCUCGAAAGUGUGGGUAUCAAACAGGAUUAGAUACCCUGGUAGUCCACACGGUAAACGAUGAAUACUCGCUGUUUGCGAUAUACAGCAAGCGGCCAAGCGAAAGCGUUAAGUAUUCCACCUGGGGAGUACGCCGGCAACGGUGAAACUCAAAGGAAUUGACGGGGGCCCGCACAAGCGGAGGAACAUGUGGUUUAAUUCGAUGAUACGCGAGGAACCUUACCCGGGCUUAAAUUGCAGAUGAAUUACGGUGAAAGCCGUAAGCCGCAAGGCAUCUGUGAAGGUGCUGCAUGGUUGUCGUCAGCUCGUGCCGUGAGGUGUCGGCUUAAGUGCCAUAACGAGCGCAACCCUUGUUGUCAGUUACUAACAGGUUCCGCUGAGGACUCUGACAAGACUGCCAUCGUAAGAUGUGAGGAAGGUGGGGAUGACGUCAAAUCAGCACGGCCCUUACGUCCGGGGCUACACACGUGUUACAAUGGGGGGUACAGAGGGCCGCUACCACGCGAGUGGAUGCCAAUCCCCAAAACCUCUCUCAGUUCGGACUGGAGUCUGCAACCCGACUCCACGAAGCUGGAUUCGCUAGUAAUCGCGCAUCAGCCACGGCGCGGUGAAUACGUUCCCGGGCCUUGUACACACCGCCCGUCAAGCCAUGGGAGCCGGGGGUACCUGAAGUGCGUAACCGCGAGGAGCGCCCUAGGGUAAAACUGGUGACUGGGGCUAAGAA
RNAcentral lists this ribosomal RNA (1433 nucleotides) under uncultured organism. RNAcentral describes it as "SSU rRNA". It matches the Rfam family "Bacterial small subunit ribosomal RNA". The record is from RNAcentral.